UACGGAGGGGGCUAGCGUUGUUCGGAAUUACUGGGCGUAAAGCGCGCGUAGGCGGACCUGCAAGUCGGGGGUGAAAGCCCGAGGCUCAACCUCGGAACUGCCUUCGAUACUGCGGGUCUCGAGUCCGGGAGAGGUGAGUGGAAUUCCUAGUGUAGAGGUGAAAUUCGUAGAUAUUAGGAAGAACACCAGUGGCGAAGGCGGCUCACUGGCCCGGUACUGACGCUGAGGCGCGAAAGUGUGGGGAGCAAACAGG
Molecule: ribosomal RNA, 253 nt
Filed under: uncultured bacterium
Lineage: Bacteria
Description: partial 16S ribosomal RNA
Rfam family: Bacterial small subunit ribosomal RNA
Source: RNAcentral